Molecule: long non-coding RNA, 644 nt
Organism: Oreochromis aureus
Lineage: Eukaryota; Metazoa; Chordata; Actinopteri; Cichliformes; Cichlidae
Exons: 2
Source: RefSeq, a predicted model, not a curated record
AAAUCCUGGUAAAAUCCAAACCCUAGAAAUGUUGACACUGUGUGAAUCAUUUUUAGAGCAAUUGAAUCAUAUGUUUGAUUGAAAAUAGCUUUAAUACAAGAUGUCUAAUCAAAGAAAGGUUACCGGUCUUUUGGUAAAAUAAUGUAAUAAGUUUAUUCUUGGACUCAACAGUAAAAACAGACCAACAAGUGUCAUCAAGAUCUAAGACUUAGUAAACCUAGUAUCAAUUCGCACUGGUCAGUUUUUUUAUCCCAAGAAUAAACUUGUGAUAAUUUAAGCAAAAGCAAUUUCAAAUUCUUUGCCAAACUGCUUCCAGUCCUGAUGUCGGGGACUCUUUUUCACCACUGUGUUGUUGUCGUUUAUAGAUUGCAAGAGCAGGACUGCUAAAAGAAAGGCCAGUCCUGAAAAGAAGACCCCAAUAAAAGGAGGAGGGUCGCUGAGCAGGCUGGUCCUUCCACCAGCUCAGAUGUGGUCAAAGGAGUGAAGCGCAAGGUUGUGCAAGAUGAAGAGGGCACAACAAAGAAAGCAAAGAAGGCUAAACUUCUCCACCAUAUGAGCGGUGACAAGGAGCAAGCAUCCUCCUUGUUGGACUCUGGUAAAGACUUGAAUAACAAACAGGUGUGCGCAAAAAAUGGCAAAAGAAA